RNAcentral lists this non-coding RNA (93 nucleotides) under delta proteobacterium NaphS2. RNAcentral describes it as "c-di-GMP-I riboswitch aptamer". It matches the Rfam family "c-di-GMP-I riboswitch aptamer". Rfam says of the family: GEMM was predicted in a large-scale screen for bacterial structured RNA regulatory elements. Genes associated with GEMM are involved in a diverse array of functions, including chemotaxis regulation, signal transduction, secretion and chitin. RNAcentral also lists the same sequence under 1 other name. The record is from Rfam by way of RNAcentral. Lineage: Bacteria; Deltaproteobacteria.
GUUCGAAAAAGGCAAACCACUCGAAAGGGUGGGACGCAAAGCCAGCGGCCUACGUCCUCAAAUACCAAAGGAUAAGGCGGCAGGGUUGCCGGG